RNAcentral lists this ribosomal RNA (327 nucleotides) under uncultured eukaryote. RNAcentral's name for it is "partial 18S ribosomal RNA". It matches the Rfam family "Eukaryotic small subunit ribosomal RNA", at positions 1470 to 1796 of the family's 1831-position model. The record is from RNAcentral.
CCCUUAGAUGUUCUGGGCCGCACGCGCGCUACACUGACUGUAUCAACGAGUUUACCACCUGGGUCGAAGGGCUUGGGUAAUCUUUUGAAAUGCAGUCGUGCUGGGGAUAGAUCAUUGCAAUUAUUGAUCUUCAACGAGGAAUUCCUAGUAAGCGCGAGUCAUCAGCUCGCGUUGACUACGUCCCUGCCCUUUGUACACACCGCCCGUCGCUCCUACCGAUUGGAUGAUCCGGUGAAAUCUUCGGAGAGUGAGUUUGUAUGGGGCAACUCAUCGGCUCGUUCAAAGUUGAUUAAGCCUUAUCAUCUAGAGGAAGGAGAANUCGUAACA